GGAAAAGGACCAAAUACACAAAAGAAUCCCUUCCACGACCUGGUAAGGUCGGUACGAUAGCGACUACUAAAAUAUACCCAAAGUACUAGACAGAAUCCAAAAUAUACCAAAUAUACACAAGUAGUCUCGAGUACAAAAGACUAAACCAGAGUAGAUAGAGGAGAAUUAGCCUCUCGAACGAGAGUAAGCUCACCCUGGUCCGAAUUAGUACUGGAAGGUAAGAAUCACGUCAAUGUCGGCUGCUACGACUCGGAUAUGCAUCAGGAAAAGAUACAGAAAUGUAGUAUGAGUACCAAAGCAACGGUUAUUCAGUAGAAAUCAUCGGCCGACGGAGCUCAACACAGAAAAAGUGUAACUACAAUGCAAGGAUGUAAUCUAAGUCAACAGUAAAAGAAAAAAAAAAAAAAAGGAUAAACAACUAUCAAGCUAUGCCAAUAAGAUAAAGGAUUAAAUUCGAGCGAUACAGAAAAUAAAUAACAUAAAUAACGCAGGAAUUACAGACAAAUCAAACAUAACCUAAUUGGGCCCCUAUAAGCCCGCUAGGCAUAGAAACAUAACCUAACUGGACCUCCAUAAGCCCGCUAGGCAUAUUGAAGAAGACAAUUAACCCAACCAUACUCCAUAAGACGGUGGGAAAACAAAAGUAGCAAUUAAAGAAAAUAACCGUAAAUAAUCUGUAACUGAGCCAAUCCCAUAAAAUCGUAGUAGUCCUCUAGAUGUGCACCGGAAUUGAAUCGGCACUUAUGGGUAGUAACAAGAGGCCAGAAAUCAGACUUGAACCGAUAGUGAUGGAUAAUAUCAAGAGGACGUGUGCCAGAUUCAAACCAGACAUAGUGGGUAAUAACGAGAGGCCACAUAUAUAAUAUAUAUCAGAACUCAUAAUCUGAUGCCGAACUCGAAGCGGAACUCAGCGGAACCACGAUCAUAAUCAGAUGCUUGACUCGAACCAGAACUCAAAGAAACCACAACCAUAAUCAGAUGCCGAACUCAAAGGAACCACAAUCAUAAGCAGAUGUCAAACUCAAACCGGAACUCUAAGGAACCACAACCAUACACAAAUGCUCAAACCUAAACUCAUAGUAACCAUACCCCACUGUAAUAUUAAAAUUCAUACCAUACCAUAAAAAUAUCAACGUGGUAUAAAAGUUCACAAUCAAUGAUAGAAAUAAAGUAUAUACUGAACCUGAAUAGAAGCUAAAAUACGUCUAAUUACGGUAGACAAGUCUUAAUUUUAAAGGGACAAAUUCAAGGUUUGCUAUUUAAUUCUACAUCCUAAACUAAUAGAUGCUAUAUUAUAUUGAAAGACAAAAUAUCAAAAUCUACUAAAAUGAGAUACUAAUCCGAAUAAAUAAGACAUGCUAUAUAUGUAUAAUGGUACGCAACUACAAGUAAUUGUAUAGAACUAGCAUAAUAGUCCACAAUUUCAAUAAAUAAGCUCAAUCAAAAGAUAGGAUAAGCCUAGCCUACUUAGACGUCAAAACUAAAAUAUCUCUUCACGAAGCCUCCAGAUAGUGCCCUACUAGAAUUCAGACUUGAAUAACUUGAGUAGAUAAUUAAUUUUUCCCUUAUAUUCUUUCACAACUCACAUACGUACAUAUAUAGAGAGAGAAAAGUAGUAAGAGCGACAACAAUGGUAGACAAGGUAUCAUGUAGAAAAUUAUAGGCACGUUCAUAUGUGAGAAAAAACCAAAGGAAAUAAAGCUCCAAUACAAUAUAUAUUUAUAUAUACAUAU
RNAcentral lists this long non-coding RNA (1733 nucleotides) under Capsicum annuum. RNAcentral describes it as "long non-coding RNA (CANN_LNC017938)". The record is from RNAcentral. Lineage: Eukaryota; Viridiplantae; Streptophyta; Magnoliopsida; Solanales; Solanaceae.